This 904-nucleotide long non-coding RNA is filed under the name Xyrichtys novacula (pearly razorfish). Lineage: Eukaryota; Metazoa; Chordata; Actinopteri; Labriformes; Labridae. The record is from RNAcentral.
UUUCAGUGACAACAGUCAGAGUGAAAGUAUGUGAGCUGAAAAACAGACUCCAUUUUGAGAAAAGAAGAGAGAGGAGAGGACGAGGAGACAGGGUGAGUGUUUACUCUGUUUUUGUUUUAAUGUCAAACUCUUUAUCUGUAUCAUCCGUUAAUGAAAAAUGAUUUACUGACUAAUACACUGAAAAACUGUAAAACAAAGAAACUUGACCAGACAAAGAGCUGGAUCAGUUCUUGAUACAGAAAACUGUGUAUGUGCAGUUCUUCCUCCUCUUUGUUUAGACUUGACUUUUUGGUAAAAACAUAAAUAAGAAUCUUUUUAGAGUCUCAUUUCAAAUUUAAUCCAGUCCCCUUAAUCUUAUAUGAGAGUUCAGGGACCUCACAGCUGAUUUUGUUUUGACCAUGAAUGAGAUAAGGAUCAGAGAGAGGCCCUGCAGGGUGGGGAGACAUCAGAAGUACUUGGAUAUUAAACCUGUAUAACUCUUAAAGAGGGGGAUUAAGUCUGUACUUCCUUUCUGAUUCCUCUUUUAUUUCUGAAGUCUCUUCCUGUUUGUAUCUCACCUGUUUGUCUACUUUGUCCUCAGGUUGAAUAACUUGGUUUCAUCUUCCAUGAAUCUUCACAACAUCAGAUGGAGAAGAUGAGUGUUUGUGUUGAGGAAGAGGAGGACAGAGCAAAGUCUGUUAUGUCCGACUGUCUGUCUAUGAAGAGUGACCGGUCUAAAGAUGAUCCUCUAAACUUCAGUAAAGAACCAGGACCCUCAGAGGAGGGCAGAACAGAGUCUGUUAUGUCCGACUGUCUGUCUAUGAAGAGUGACUGGUCUAAAGCUGAUCCUCUAAACUUCGGUAAAGAACCAGGACCCUCAGAUUCACGGUAAGAGAAAUACUUUUCACCCUCCAAACUCUCAAAC